GGGACACGUGGUAUCCUGUCUGAAUAUGGGGGGACCAUCCUCCAAGGCUAAAUACUCCUGACUGACCGAUAGUGAACCAGUACCGUGAGGGAAAGGCGAAAAGAACCCCGGCGAGGGGAGUGAAAAAGAACCUGAAACCGUGUACGUACAAGCAGUGGGAGCACGCUUAGGCGUGUGACUGCGUACCUUUUGUAUAAUGGGUCAGCGACUUAUAUUCUGUAGCAAGGUUAACCGAAUAGGGGAGCCGAAGGGAAACCGAGUCUUAACUGGGCGUUAAGUUGCAGGGUAUAGACCCGAAACCCGGUGAUCUAGCCAUGGGCAGGUUGAAGGUUGGGUAACACUAACUGGAGGACCGAACCGACUAAUGUUGAAAAAUUAGCGGAUGACUUGUGGCUGGGGGUGAAAGGCCAAUCAAACCGGGAGAUAGCUGGUUCUCCCCGAAAGCUAUUUAGGUAGCGCCUCGUGAAUUCAUCUCCGGGGGUAGAGCACUGUUUCGGCAAGGGGGUCAUCCCGACUUACCAACCCGAUGCAAACUGCGAAUACCGGAGAAUGUUAUCACGGGAGACACACGGCGGGUGCUAACGUCCGUCGUGAAGAGGGAAACAACCCAGACCGCCAGCUAAGGUCCCAAAGUCAUGGUUAAGUGGGAAACGAUGUGGGAAGGCCCAGACAGCCAGGAUGUUGGCUUAGAAGCAGCCAUCAUUUAAAGAAAGCGUAAUAGCUCACUGGUCGAGUCGGCCUGCGCGGAAGAUGUAACGGGGCUAAACCAUGCACCGAAGCUGCGGCAGCGACGCUGAUGCGUUGUUGGGUAGGGGAGCGUUCUGUAAGCCUGCGAAGGUGUGCUGUGAGGCAUGCUGGAGGUAUCAGAAGUGCGAAUGCUGACAUAAGUAACGAUAAAGCGGGUGAAAAGCCCGCUCGCCGGAAGACCAAGGGUUCCUGUCCAACGUUAAUCGGGGCAGGGUGAGUCGACCCCUAAGGCGAGGCCGAAAGGCGUAGUCGAUGGGAAACAGGUUAAUAUUCCUGUACUUGGUGUUACUGCGAAGGGGGGACGGAGAAGGCUAUGUUGGCCGGGCGACGGUUGUCCCGGUUUAAGCGUGUAGGCUGGUUUUCCAGGCAAAUCCGGAAAAUCAAGGCUGAGGCGUGAUGACGAGGCACUACGGUGCUGAAGCAACAAAUGCCCUGCUUCCAGGAAAAGCCUCUAAGCAUCAGGUAACAUCAAAUCGUACCCCAAACCGACACAGGUGGUCAGGUAGAGAAUACCAAGGCGCUUGAGAGAACUCGGGUGAAGGAACUAGGCAAAAUGGUGCCGUAACUU
RNAcentral lists this ribosomal RNA (1315 nucleotides) under Escherichia coli. RNAcentral's name for it is "partial 23S ribosomal RNA". It matches the Rfam family "Bacterial large subunit ribosomal RNA", at positions 419 to 1736 of the family's 2925-position model. The record is from RNAcentral. Lineage: Bacteria; Pseudomonadati; Pseudomonadota; Gammaproteobacteria; Enterobacterales; Enterobacteriaceae.